This 428-nucleotide long non-coding RNA is filed under the name Ovis aries (sheep). RNAcentral's name for it is "lncRNA (ENSOARG00000026214.1)". Lineage: Eukaryota; Metazoa; Chordata; Mammalia; Artiodactyla; Bovidae. The record is from RNAcentral.
AUGUGCUCUGUCCAUUGUAAUGGACAAAUUGUAAAUGCUAGGUGGGUGUUAAAGGACUGGAUGGAGGACCGGGACCAUGGGAGGAAGAGCAGGCAGGCUGCAGGAGAGGAAGGAGGAAGGAACCACAGGAGGGGGUGUGGCGUGAGGCUGAAGGAAACCACAGGUAUCUGUUGGACAGGAAAGAGAAACCAGAUACAGCUUCCUGGGCAAUGGAACUUCAGAGACAAGCACAGAGUUUGCUGGCAACUCCAGGAGGCUGAAGCCACCGGUCCCGCAGCCUUUGGGGAACCAAGCAAAUCAGUCCUUAGGACAGACGACUCAGGCAAACCAGCCAGCACCACUGCCAGCAGCACAAAACAAGCUUUCAGACCCACAUGAGAAGACAAGAUUGUAAUGCCUCCGUGACAACAUUGCCUUAUUGAUGCAAG